RNAcentral lists this ribosomal RNA (460 nucleotides) under uncultured bacterium. RNAcentral describes it as "partial 16S ribosomal RNA". It matches the Rfam family "Bacterial small subunit ribosomal RNA", at positions 338 to 795 of the family's 1533-position model. The record is from RNAcentral.
CCUACGGGAGGCUGCAGUGAGGAAUAUUGGUCAAUGGGCGCGAGCCUGAACCAGCCAAGUAGCGUGAAGGAUGACUGCCCUACGGGUUGUAAACUUCUUUUAUAAAGGAAUAAAGUGAGGCACGUGUGCCUUUUUGUAUUUACUUUAUGAAUAAGGAACGGCUAACCCCGUGCCAGCAGCCGAGGUAAUACGGAGGAUCCGAGCGUUAUCCGGAUUUAUUGGGUUUAAAGGGAGCGUAGAUGGGUUGUUAAGUCAGAUGUGAAAGUUUGCGGCUCAACCGUAAAAGUGCAAUUGAUACUGGCAGCCUUGAGUGCAGUUGAGGUAGGUGGAAUUCGUGGUGUAGCGGUGAAAUGCUUAGAUAUCACGAAGAACUCCGAUUGCGAAGGCAGCCUACUAAACUGCCACUGACGUUGAUGCUCGAAAGUGUGGGUAUCAAACAGGAUUAGAUACCCCUGUAGUC